Molecule: ribosomal RNA, 61 nt
Filed under: Anopheles peditaeniatus
Lineage: Eukaryota; Metazoa; Arthropoda; Insecta; Diptera; Culicidae
Description: partial 5.8S ribosomal RNA
Source: RNAcentral
GGUAACUGACGCAUAUUGCACGUCGUGGGACCUACCAUGAUGUACACAUACCUGAGUGCUU